AUGACGCGCCGCCUGCGCCGCCGCGCCGCCAGGGACGGCCCGGCGGCGCAUCCGCAUCCGCACCCGCACCCGCUCGACUGGACCGCGCUCCCGGACGACGCCACGCUGCACCUCUUCGCGCGCCUCGGCUACCGCGACCGCGCCGCCCUCGCCGCCACCUGCCGCGCCUGGCGGGCGCUGGCCGCCUCGCCCUGCCUCUGGGCCGCGCUCCACCUCCGCCGCCUCGACCCGGCCGCCGCGGCCACCCUCGCCCCGCGCUGCGCGCCCCACCUGCGCAGCCUCCGCCUCGCCGGCCGCGCCGCCGCCGAGGCCGCCCCCUUCCUCCGCGCCGCGGGGCUCCGCUCGCUCCGCCUCUCCGGCUGCCGCGACCUCACCGACGCCGCGCUCGCCGUCCUCGCCGCGCGCCACGGGGGCCUCGCCGAGCUCCACAUCGGCCCCGACCCGCUCGACCGCAUCUCCAGCGACGCCCUCCGCAGCGUCGCCCUCUGCUGCCCGCGCCUCCGCUGCCUCCGCCUCUCCGGCCUCCGCGAGGUCGCCGCCGACGCGCUCGCCGACCUCGCGCGCCACUGCCCGCUCCUCCACGAUCUCGCCUUCAUCGACUGCCUCGCCCUCGACGAGCCCGCCCUCGCCGGCCUCACCUCCCUCCGCUUCCUCUCCGUCGCCGGCUGCCAGAACAUCAAGUGGGCCACCGCCUCCGCAUCCUGGGCGCAGCUCCCCUCCCUCUCCGGCCUAGAUGUAUCCCGCACCGACGUCUCCCCCGGCGCCGUCUCCCGCCUCAUCUCACACUCCACCACCCUCAGGCUCAUAUGCGCCCUUAACUGUGCCUCCCUCGAGGAGGAAGAGGCGCACAGCCCGGCCGCCUUCGCCAACUCCAGGGGCAAGCUCGUGCUCACCAUCAACCGCACAAUCUCUAAAUUCAUCGCCGCAGACGCCGCCCCGCUGUGUCCAGACACGGCUGUCAAGGACACUGUGGUGUUCGAUGAGUGUCGCUCUUCGAGUGGCAAGCGCAAUGAGGUGUCUCACCUCAUUACAUGGCUCGAAUGGAUCCUGUCGCAGUCCCUCCUGCGAAUUCCAGAGAGCAACCCACAUGGCAUGAACCAGUUUUGGCUGGACCAGGGCGCGGCGCUGCUGCUAACCCUGCUCAAGAGCUCCCAGGACGAUGUGCAGGAGCGGGCGGCCACCACGCUUGCAACAUUCGCGGUUAUCGAUGAUGAGAACACCAAUGUGGACCCUGCAAGGUCUGAGGCUGUGAUGCUCGAAGGGGGCAUACCGAUGCUGUUGGAUCUCGCAAGGUGCUCCAGGGAGAGUCUGCAGUCUGAAGCUGCAAAGGCAAUCGCCAACUUAUCCGUGAAUCCAAAGGUUGCGAAAGCAGUUGCAGAUCAGGGAGGUAUUGCCAUACUCACUAACAUGGCAAAGUCGGUAAACCGUCUGGUUGCUGAAGAGGCUGCUGGGGGGCUGUGGAAUCUGUCAGUGGGAGAAGAACACAAGGUGGCUAUCGCAGCGGCUGGUGGGGUAAAAGCUUUGGUUGAUCUUAUAUUUCGAUGGCCUGCAGGAACUGGAGUGCUUGAACGUGCUGCUGGUGCACUUGCAAAUCUUGCUGCUGAUGACAAAUGUAGCUUGGAGGUUGCAACGGCUGGUGGCAUCCAUGCCUUGGUUACGCUUGCUCGCUCCUGCAAAGUUGAAGGGGUCUUAGAGCAGGCUGCACGAGCUUUAGCUAAUCUAGCUGCACAUGGAGACAACAACAACAAUAAUGCUGCUGUUGGCCAGGAACCAGGUGCUCUUGAAGCUUUGGUGCAACUAACACAUUCUCCCAGUGAAGGCGUCAGACAAGAAGCUGCUGGCGCUUUGUGGAACUUGUCAUUUGAUGAUAGAAAUCGGGAAUCCAUAGCUUCUGCUGGUGGUGUUCAAGCUCUGGUCUCACUCUGUCAAGAAUGUUUAAAUGCUUCGGACGGUCUUCAGGAGAGAGCUGCGGGUGCUCUCUGGGGACUAUCUGUUUCAGAAGCUAACAGCAUUGCUAUUGGAAGGGAAGGUGGUGUUCCACCUCUAAUCGCGUUGGCACAGUCGGAAGUUGAAGAUGUUCAUGAGACUGCAGCUGGUGCACUAUGGAAUCUUGCUUUCUAUUCUUGUAAUUCUCUCCGCAUAGUUGAAGAAGGUGGUGUACCUGUCCUAGUGCACUUGUGCUCAUCAUCACACUCAAAAAUGGCUCGGUUCAUGGCUGCACUAACCCUUGCUUAUAUGUUUGAUGGAAGAAUGGAUGAGAUAGCAUUGGUUGGGACAUCCUCACAGGGUAGUUCCAAAAUUGUAAAAUUUGAGGGAGCAAGAAGGUUGGCAUUUAAGCAUAUAGAAGCCUUUGUGUUGACCUUUUCAGAUCCACAAAUGUUUUCUACGGCUGCUUCAUCCUCAGGCGCAGCAGCCUUAUCUCAGGUUGCUGACGCACUUUUUAUACAAGAAGCUGGACAUCUUAGAUGCAGCCGAGCUGAGAUUGCUAGAUUCGUUGACACGCUACGGAAUCCUUCAUCAGUUCUUCGUGCUUGUGCAGCUUUUGCUCUGCUUCAGGUUGGCUUCGUUUUAUCCCGCUCAACUGCUGUUCACUAUGCCGGCGGGUCGACAUGCUGUGCACCACGCGGCCCUGCUUCAGAAAGCCGGGGCGUCCCGGGUCUUACGGUGGGCAGCAGCCGCGGCAACAGCUCCCAUCGAAGCGAAGAUCUUUGCACGGAUCGUCCUUCGCAACUUGGAGCUCCACCAAGCAGGGCCUUCCACAUAGAAGCAAAGGAUGAUGAGCGAACAGCACUCCUACUUUUCACUGGUGGAGAAGAGCAGCUGACCUAUUUAUUCCCCCAUAUCCAUGGCUUCGGCAUGAACCAGACGACAUGA
This 2874-nucleotide ribosomal RNA is filed under the name Triticum aestivum (bread wheat). RNAcentral describes it as "partial small subunit ribosomal RNA". The record is from RNAcentral. Lineage: Eukaryota; Viridiplantae; Streptophyta; Magnoliopsida; Poales; Poaceae.